RNAcentral lists this ribosomal RNA (165 nucleotides) under Arthrinium sp. RNAcentral's name for it is "partial small subunit ribosomal RNA". It matches the Rfam family "Eukaryotic small subunit ribosomal RNA", at positions 1352 to 1541 of the family's 1831-position model. RNAcentral also lists the same sequence under 1 other name. The record is from RNAcentral. Lineage: Eukaryota; Fungi; Ascomycota; Sordariomycetes; Amphisphaeriales; Apiosporaceae.
UAAAUAGCCCGUAUUGCUUUGGCAGUACGCUGGCUUCUUAGAGGGACUAUCCGCUCAAGCGGAUGGAAGUUUGAGGCAAUAACAGGUCUGUGAUGCCCUUAGAUGUUCUGGGCCGCACGCGCGUUACACUGACGGAGCCAGCGAGUACUUCCUUGACAGAGAUGU